RNAcentral lists this non-coding RNA (160 nucleotides) under Rhodomicrobium sp. RNAcentral describes it as "6S RNA". It matches the Rfam family "6S / SsrS RNA". Rfam says of the family: E. coli 6S RNA was the first non coding RNA to be sequenced, but its function was unknown until recently. It consists of 184 nucleotides that fold into an extended hairpin structure with a large single-stranded internal bulge. Lineage: Bacteria; Pseudomonadati; Pseudomonadota; Alphaproteobacteria; Hyphomicrobiales; Hyphomicrobiaceae. The record is from RNAcentral.
UCGGAGCUGCGGGAUGCGUUAGGUUCUACUUCAAUCCCGGGGCCGAUGCGAUCCACUAGGGAGCUGAUCCUGACCGGGACCGUGGUUCCGGACACUCGGCGCCCACCUACUUUGUAGGGCCCAGCCGGAUCGAAUAACCGACGGUCAUCGCGGCUCCGCC